CCUACGGGAGGCAGCAGUGAGGAAUAUUGGUCAAUGGACGCAAGUCUGAACCAGCCAUGCCGCGUGCAGGAAGACGGCUCUAUGAGUUGUACACUGCUUUUGUACGAGGGUAAACGCAGAUACGCGUAUCUGUCUGAAAGUAUCGUACGAAUAAGGAUCGGCUAACUCCGUGCCAGCAGCCGCGGUAAUACGGAGGAUUCAAGCGUUAUCCGGAUUUAUUGGGUUUAAAGGGUGCGUAGGCGGUCGGAUAAGUCAGAGGUGAAAUCCCGAGGCUCAACUGCGGAAUUGCCUCUGAUACUGUUCGGCUGGAGAGUAGUUGCGGUAGGCGGAAUGUAUGGUGUAGCGGUGAAAUGCUUAGAGAUCAUAAAGAACACCGAUUGCGAAGGCAGCUUACCAAGCUACUACUGACGUUGAGGCACGAAAGCGUGGGGAGCAAACAGGAUUAGAUACCCUGGUAGUC
RNAcentral lists this ribosomal RNA (460 nucleotides) under uncultured bacterium. Its description in RNAcentral is "partial 16S ribosomal RNA". It matches the Rfam family "Bacterial small subunit ribosomal RNA", at positions 338 to 795 of the family's 1533-position model. The record is from RNAcentral.